Molecule: ribosomal RNA, 474 nt
Filed under: uncultured organism
Description: partial 16S ribosomal RNA
Rfam family: Bacterial small subunit ribosomal RNA
Source: RNAcentral
GUACACUCCUACGGGAGGCAGCAGUGGGGAAUUUUGGACAAUGGGCGAAAGCCUGAUCCAGCAAUGCCGCGUGUGUGAAGAAGGCCUUCGGGUUGUAAAGCACUUUUGUCCGGAAAGAAAUCCUUGGCUCUAAUACAGUCGGGGGAUGACGGUACCGGAAGAAUAAGCACCGGCUAACUACGUGCCAGCAGCCGCGGUAAUACGUAGGGUGCGAGCGUUAAUCGGAAUUACUGGGCGUAAAGCGUGCGCAGGCGGUUUGCUAAGACCGAUGUGAAAUCCCCGGGCUCAACCUGGGAACUGCAUUGGAGACUGGCAGGCUAGAGUAUGGCAGAGGGGGGUAGAAUGCCACGUGUAGCAGUGAAAUGCGUAGAGAUGUGGAGGAAUACCGAUGGCGAAGGCAGCCCCCUGGGCCAAUACUGACGCUCAUGCACGAAAGCGUGGGGAGCAAACAGGAUUAGAAACCCGAGUAGUCCC